RNAcentral lists this long non-coding RNA (1479 nucleotides) under Cucumis sativus (cucumber). RNAcentral describes it as "long non-coding RNA (CSAT_LNC002990)". Lineage: Eukaryota; Viridiplantae; Streptophyta; Magnoliopsida; Cucurbitales; Cucurbitaceae. The record is from RNAcentral.
AAAACCCGACCCCGCCUAGUAGGUUCUUAGAGUUCUUCACCCAUCAUGGCAGCCGGUAGAGAGGGAGAGAAAAAAAAGAGGGAGCCAAGCCAGCCGCUUAGGUCAAGUAAAAUGCGCGCCGAGAUCCCCCGGUUUCAGAAUUUUCGUGGGGAUCCUCUCCGCUUUUCUUGCCUAAGCAAAACCCGACCCGCCUAGUAGGUCCUUAGAGUUUUUCACCCAGCAUGGCAGCCGGUAGAGAGGGGAGAGAAAAAAAAAGAGGGAGCCAAGCCAGCCGCUUAGGUCAAGUAAAAUGCCGCCGAGAUCCCCCGGUUUCAGAAUUUUCGUGAGGGAUCCUCUCCGCUUUUCUUGCCUAAGCAAAACCCGACCCGCCUAGUAGGUCUUAGAGUUCUUCACCCAUCAUGGCAGCCGGUAGAGAGGGUGAGAGAAAAUAAAGAGGGAGCCAAGGCAGCCGCUUAGGUCAAGUAAAAUGCGCGCCGAGAUCCCCGGUUUCAGAAUUUUCGUGGGGAUCCUCUCCGCUUUUCUUGCCUAAGCAAAACCCGACCCGCCUAGUAGGUCCUUAGAGUUUUUCACCCACAUGGCAGCCGGUAGAGAGGGAGAGAGAAAAAAAAGAGGGAGCCAAGCCAGCCGCUUAGGUCAAGUAAAAUGCGCGCCGAGAUCCCCCGGUUUCAGAAUUUUCGUGGGGAUCCUCUCCGCUUUUCUUGCCUAAGAAAACCCGACCCGCCUAGUAGGUCCUUAGAGUUCUUCACCCAUCAUGGCAGCCGGUAGAGAGGGGAGAGAAAAAAAAGAGGGAGCCAAGCCAGCCGCUUAGGUCAAGUAAAAUGCGGCCGAGAUCCCCCGGUUUCAGAAUUUUCGUGGGGAUCCUCUCCGCUUUUCUUGCCUAAGCAAAACCCGACCCGCCUAGUAGGUCCUUAGAGUUUUUCACCCAGCAUGGCAGCCGGUAGAGAGGGAGAGAGAAAAAAAAGAGGGAGCCAAGCCAGCCGCUUAGGUCAAGUAAAAUGCGCGCCGAGAUCCCCCGGUUUCAGAAUUUUCGUGGGGAUCCUCUCCGCUUUUCUUGCCUAAGCAAAACCCGACCCGCCUAGUAGGUCCUUAGAGUUUUUCACCCAGCAUGGCAGCCGGUAGAGAGGGAGAGAAAAAAAAAGAGGGAGCCAAGCCAGCCGCUUAGGUCAAGUAAAAUGCGCGCCGAGAUCCCCGGUUUCAGAAUUUUCGUGGGGAUCCUCUCCGCUUUUCUUGCCUAAGCAAAACCCGACCCGCCUAGUAGGUCCUUAGAGUUUUUCACCCAUCAUGGCAGCCGGUAGAGAGAGAGAGAAAAAAAAAAGAGGGAGCCAAGCCAGCCGCUUAGGUCAAGUAAAAUGCGCGUCGAGAUCCCCCGGUUUCAGAAUUUUCGUGGGGAUCCUCUCCGCUUUUCUUGCCUAAGCAAAACCCGACCCGCCUAGUAGGUCCUUAGAGUUUUUCACCCAGCAUGGCAGCCGGUAGAGAGGG